RNAcentral lists this ribosomal RNA (1346 nucleotides) under uncultured bacterium. Its description in RNAcentral is "partial 16S ribosomal RNA". It matches the Rfam family "Bacterial small subunit ribosomal RNA", at positions 28 to 1381 of the family's 1533-position model. The record is from RNAcentral.
GACGAACGCUGGCGGCGUGCUUAACACAUGCAAGUCGAACGGAAAGGCCCUGCUUUUGUGGGGUGCUCGAGUGGCGAACGGGUGAGUAACACGUGAGUAACCUGCCCUUGACUUUGGGAUAACUUCAGGAAACUGGGGCUAAUACCGGAUAGGAGCUCCUGCUGCAUGGUGGGGGUUGGAAAGUUUCGGCGGUUGGGGAUGGACUCGCGGCUUAUCAGCUUGUUGGUGGGGUAGUGGCUUACCAAGGCUUUGACGGGUAGCCGGCCUGAGAGGGUGACCGGCCACAUUGGGACUGAGAUACGGCCCAGACUCCUACGGGAGGCAGCAGUGGGGAAUAUUGCACAAUGGGCGGAAGCCUGAUGCAACAACGCCGCGUGCGGGAUGACGGCCUUCGGGUUGUAAACCGCUUUCGCCUGUGACGAAGCGUGAGUGACGGUAAUGGGUAAAGAAGCACCGGCUAACUACGUGCCAGCAGCCGCGGUGAUACGUAGGGUGCGAGCGUUGUCCGGAUUUAUUGGGCGUAAAGGGCUCGUAGGUGGUUGAUCGCGUCGGAAGUGUAAUCUUGGGGCUUAACCCUGAGCGUGCUUUCGAUACGGGUUGACUUGAGGAAGGUAGGGGAGAAUGGAAUUCCUGGUGGAGCGGUGGAAUGCGCAGAUAUCAGGAGGAACACCAGUGGCGAAGGCGGUUCUCUGGGCCUUUCCUGACGCUGAGGAGCGAAAGCGUGGGGAGCGAACAGGCUUAAAUACCCUGGUAGUCCACGCUGUAAACGGUGGGUACUAGGUGUGGGGUCCAUUCCACGGGUUCCGUGCCGUAGCUAACGCUUUAAGUACCCCGCCUGGGGAGUACGGCCGCAAGGCUAAAACUCAAAGGAAUUGACGGGGCCCCGCACAAGCGGCGGAGCAUGCGGAUUAAUUCGAUGCAACGCGUAGAACCUUACCUGGGUUUGACAUGGAUCGGGAGUGCUCAGAGAUGGGUGUGCCUCUUUUGGGGUCGGUUCACAGGUGGUGCAUGGCUGUCGUCAGCCCGUGUCGUGAGAUGUUGGGUUAAGUCCCGCAACGAGCGCAACCCUUGUUCACUGUUGCCAGCACGUUAUGGUGGGGACUCAGUGGAGACCGCCGGGGUCAACUCGGAGGAAGGUGGGGAUGACGUCAAGUCAUCAUGCCCCUUAUGUCCAGGGCUUCACGCAUGCUACAAUGGCUGGUACAGAGAGUGGCGAGCCUGUGAGGGUGAGCGAAUCUCGGAAAGCCGGUCUCAGUUCGGAUUGGGGUCUGCAACUCGACCUCAUGAAGUCGGAGUCGCUAGUAAUCGCAGAUCAGCAACGCUGCGGUGAAUACGUUCCCGGGGCU